UUAUUCCAACAUUUAGCAGCUUAAGACAACAAACGUGUGUGCCUCACACCGUUUCUGAGAAUCCGGAAUCCAGGAGUAGUCUUGCAGAGUGAGUCUUUCGUGAGGUUGCAGUCAAACUGUCAACCUGGUCUGUAAUCUCCAAAGAUGUGCCCGGGCUGGAGUGUCUUCUCCGGGGGCACUCACAUGUCUGUGGGAAGGAGGCUUCAGUCCCUUGCCACAGGGACCAUUCCACAGGGCCACUCAUGACACGGCUCACGCCAAAGUGAGGAGUGCAAGAGAGAGAGCACCAUGGCUGAAGCCAAAGUCCUUCCUAAUUGAAUAUCAGAAGAACACCACUUCUGCCUGAUGCCAUUGGCCACCCAGACCAACCAUGGCACAGUGUGGAAGGGGACCACACCAGGUGUGAGUGCCAGGAGGUGGAACUCCUUGGGGCCAUUUUGGAGGCUGGCUCCUAUCCAACAAAUCCACAUUGAAACCGAAUGCCAUGAGGUCAGCUGGGCUCAUUCGCAUCACAAACAAUUCAAACUCAUGGCGUCAUGACCUGUCAUGGCUUUUCAGGUUCUGGCUGGAUUCUUGGCAAGGUAGGGGCAUCGGUUUGCUAGGAAUGCCAUGUUUUUGGGAUUUCCUUCACCUUCCUGGGUGAAUUCCCUUUUUCUUAUACCAGUGGGAUUGGACUCUAUAACUAAGGUCCCAUCUAACUCAAACUCUAUUCAGUUCCAGUAAUUCGAUCAGUGGAUGGCUACAAAAAAGAGAAAGUCUUCAAAGAGGAGAUGGCAUUUGCACUUGAAAAGCUCCACCGUGUUGAGAUGGAUGGAAUGCGUCCCAUCAAAUGUACAGAACUUAGAGAUGACAUCAAGAUCUGGUUAUGGUAACUACAGAAGGCUCUUGUUAGGAGGCAGAAUCCAAACAGUUUGGCUAAGAAAGAGAGCCACUGGGCUGAGCUAAGAGUUUGGAUGUGAUUCUGCAGGUGGUGAAUGUGGAAGAGAUGGCUCCACCUAAAUCCAUACUAUACUUCCCCAGUGUGAGUUCCCACUGAGAAGGGGCAUCUGUAUCCAGCCAGGACUACAUUUCCCAGAACUCCUUCUUUUCCGGGCAGGGCCAUGUGACCAGUUCUGGACAAAGGAAUGUGAGCCGAAGUGAUGUGAUUCAUGUCCACGCUAAGGCCAUUAAGAGGCAGUUGUGCUCUCUCUUCUUGGGCAAUUGAGAGGCAGUUGUGCCCUCUCCUGCCUGGAUGCAGAGGACCCAGUAGAUGGAAGAGCCUCAAAAGGAAAAGGGCCCAUGUCCCUAAACUUCAAGAGGGGAAACAUCUCCUAAAAACCAGGAACACCAGAUGAGUGAAAAGUGCACAUGUGUUAGGUCAUCAGUACCUGCAUAAAAGAGACUGGGUCUUUUUCCUCCUGGAGUUUUCCCAAGUUUUGGUGGUAGGAGGCUGUAGGUGGAGUUGACCUCAGAGUGUUCUGAUGGGGACCUCAAGUGAGAGAUGGCAGACCUGUCCAGCCCCUCUCCAUCAAGAGAAGGAAGAACCCUCCCGAGGAGGCAGCCUGGGUGGUGCUGGGAUUUGGCCAAGACACUCCAUCUGCUGGAAAGGCAACGGAAAGCUUCGAACCACUUUCUUUUGGCUUGUGAACUCACCGGCUAAUUGACAAAUGUGCGUCCUGUGCAUGAGCUGCGAAGAUUUUCCAUGAUCAGCAGAGCCCAGUGAUAUCUGGGGUUCACCAAGAGCUGUGGGGCCCUUUGUGUCUAGAAACUUCUGGCCAUUGUCAGCAGAGAGGCCCCUGGUCGCUGUUCAGGGUCCUGCUCACUGGCAACCCAUGACAUACUGAGAGUCAUCAUUGUCCAAUGCUGAGCACAUAGUGAGUCCUCAAGAAAUAGUUCUUGAAUGAAUGAGUGAGUGAGUGAGUGAAAGAACAAGAGAAUAAAAGAACAAAAUGAGACCAUAUGCUUUUUACACCAAGUUGUAAGUUCAAUCCCUAACUGUGCCAAAAAGUUUUAAUUCUUUCCAGAAUUAAGGCCAUGCCAUGUGGUCCUAUGAGGGCCUUCUCUGAUUGUUUGUUUAUCAGCGAAUAUUUAUUGGGCUCCUACUAAGGGCAGGUUCUGAGCUCUAGCUGGACGCACCAGCCCAGCCAUCGGAUGGUGGGAAACCGUCUCUAAGCGCUGGAAGCUUAUCAGCGUGGGUGGGGACAGCAUCCCUGGCUGUGAGGAAG
This 2204-nucleotide long non-coding RNA is filed under the name Homo sapiens (human). RNAcentral describes it as "HSALNT0245743". The record is from RNAcentral. Lineage: Eukaryota; Metazoa; Chordata; Mammalia; Primates; Hominidae.